This 3301-nucleotide long non-coding RNA is filed under the name Bos grunniens (domestic yak). Its description in RNAcentral is "lncRNA (ENSBGRG00000012338.1)". The record is from RNAcentral. Lineage: Eukaryota; Metazoa; Chordata; Mammalia; Artiodactyla; Bovidae.
CCCUCAGCCCGAGCUGAGGACACUCCGCGAUCCUUUACUCGCUCUAGGCUUCAGGCUCGGCGGAGCCACUGGGCAGCCUAGCGGGGUUGGGGGCAUCAGACACAGACCCCAACCGUCUAGUAGAACAACCCCUGGCCGGCUUGGCAAGCGGUUUGUGUUUUAUCUCCGCCUCUUUACACCCACGCCUGUUCCUAAAUCCCGCGUCAUAAACCCACCCCUUCCCAUUUACCGGUGAUCCUCAUCUCGCCCUCGGAGUCCACGGAGGUCCUCCCCUACACUGUGCCCUACAGCAGAUGAGCCGAAUCCUCGCUUCUGGACUGCCCACUCUCGGCCACUUAAGGGUUGAGGACAAUGAGACAGGCUUCGAGACGAUCUCCAACCUUCUCCAAGCAGUGGUUUAUUUUCCAGAUUCUUCUGCUGAAAUGCUUCAGGAAGCUCACCUCUAGCCCCAUUUUACUGCCUUGAGCAUGAAGCCCACCCCAUUCUGGAAGUCAUUAGUGCAAAAGCUACGCAUCGAGUAAGUAAUUGCAUUGCUGAGGACCUCACACAGAAACAAGCUUUCUGGCAUUUUAUGGGCAUAAUGUGUAAGGAGCUAAUGCCUAAUUUUUAAACCUUAUUUAGACCUUUCUUAGAGCACGGCAGAUAAGCAUUAAUUAGUAUAUGGUCAGAGUAUACUCUGGUUUCUUACCUGCUUGGACAAUUAGAAGGUGCAUUAAAAUGAAAGUUUUAUUGGAAACUAGAGAAGCAUACAAGAUAAGUAUAUAAAUUUUACAUAUUUAAUAAUUUAGUGAUAUUAACACUUAGCACCUUUUUUGAUAUAUUUUAAAAUAGUUAUUUCAAUGGAACUUCCCCUAAUGCUCAAGAGAUUUGGGCAAAAUUCUGUAAUUCACAAAACUGUCUCAUACCUUAACAAUUGCUGUUAAAUUUACCAUGAUUUGUCACAUUAAAUGGGGUAUUUUCUAUUCAAAUUCAAAUAAUUAAAUCACUAUGUUUCUCAAGUGAGUCUCUUAGAAUGUUGUAAGUUAAUAGAAAUAAACAUGGAUUUUAGUUUUUGAUGCUCAGAAAAAGUUUACAUAGACACUGAGAAUGAUGAUUUUGUUUUAAGAAGAAGAACCUAAGUUAUUUAUUCUAUGAAAAUGUGUUGUGGUUUAGUUUCUGCUUUAAUGAAAGAUAAUUUAUGGCAUUUAUUAAGUUCCUCCUUAGUUAAAAUUCAUCCAUCAACAGCUGUCCAAGAAAUCUUAAUGUUUUAACAUCAUAAUAUAUUCCUGUUUUGCCUAUGGAUGUUGAGGGACCAAAGCCCCAUAGAUAUAUUUGCCAAAUAAUAUUGAUGCUGUUAAAGAGAUUCAUAGUAGGAAAUCAGUCAGUUGAGACCCACACAUCUUAUUGACUGGAGUCAGGCUUUUUUAUUUUGAGGUCUUGUUUUGCAAAUAUAGACAGUAAAGCAAUAGCCCGUUUAAGUCAAAGCAGCUUAUUUAGAUGGCCUCACAGUGUCUCUGGACUUUUCAAAUGCUGUUUUAAUCAGUCCAUGUUACUGAAAAUUAUCUUGGUGAAUGAAGAGAUCUGAAUCUUACAAAGUCCUACAUUUAACUCAAUAGUUUUCUAAUGAAACCGUUUGAGAUGCCCUUUAAAAACACUAUUUUGGAGUGUUAAAAGUUCAAAUACUUUUUACAAACUCAGUGUUCAUGUAUUAUACUCUGAAGGUUAUUUUAUUUUUACAAAAGCAAUCAAAUAGAAUUCAACAUUUUAAAUUAAUUUCCUAAAACAGAAAAAAAUGACCAACAUCCCAAUAGAAAAUAAUGAGCAGAGGACAGAAAUAAUUAGUUCACAGAAAGGAAAUGAAAUAGUUCUAAAAUAUAAAAAAUGAUGCUUAACCUCACAAUUUUAAAAAGCAAUUCAACAAUAGAUGAAGAUACUACUCUUUCCUAGUAUACAAGUAUUGUCAGACUGAGAGACACCCUCAUACAUUUUUGUUAGAAGUUUAAAUUGUAUGACCCUUAAAGAGAACAAUGUGAAAAAUAGUUUAAUUGGAUAUCUAUUUGAAAAAAUAAUAAAAUUUAAUCCAUACCUUAUACCAUAUACAAAAAUUACCCAAAAUGUCUCAUAUAUCUCAACAUAAAACCUAAUAUUAUAAAAUUUCUAGAAAAAGACAUAAGAGAAAAAUUUUAUGAACAUGAGUUAGGCAAAGAUUUCAUAGAUAUAAUACAAAAAUCAUGAUCCAUAGAAGAAUACACUAUUACAGUGAACUUCAAAUUAAAAUUUUCCUUUUCUUUGAAAGAUAUUAUAAGGAAAAUAAAAAGACAAAGCACCCACUGGGGGAAUAUUUUACAAAAUAUAUAUAGAUCAAUAACAUACACCCAGAAUAUAUAAAGAACACUCAAAAUCUAUAAGAACUAACAACUUCACCAAAGAUUACAAAUAGCAAAUAAGAACAUGAAAAAAUGCUCAACAUUAUUGAUUAGAAAACUAUAAAUUAAAAUCGCAAUGAGAUACCACUACACAUUUGUUAGAAUGUUGAAGUUAGAGAUUUACCAUACAUAACAUUGACAAGGGUCUAGAACACCUGGAACUUUCAAAUACCUCCAGUGGGAACAUAAAAUGAUAUAACAACUUUGGGAAACAGUUUGGUAGUUCCUUAAAAGUUUGACAUAGAGAAGUUGACCAAGAUGGUAGUGUAGGAGUACAUAGAACUCAAUUACCUCUGUGAACACAUCAAAAAUGUAUCUAUGUGUAGAAUAAAUGCCACUGAAAACUAACUGGAAACUGGCAGAAAGACUCCUUUAUAACCAAAGGUGUAAGAAAUACUCACACAGAAUUGAAUAGUAAGGGAAUAAAUGUGAUCGGGUUGGGACUUUUGUCCUUGGGAGAGGACUCAGAGUAAAGGGGAAAAUACACUUGUGGAGGUCUACCCUUGGGAGUGAGCUAUAAGCCAUAUAUUGGGUGUGCCAGCCCUGAAGUCAGACACAGGGAAGAGGAUCCCCCAUGGUUUGUUGGAGGGAAACUUAGACUAACAGGAGGGCUUUGGGAAUCCUGAGCUCUGCUCACGAGGAGCAUAUGAGCACUGGCUUGCCACUGAGGCAGAGGAGAGAGGGCAGACUGAGGACUGUUCCAGUGACUGCCUAGUUUCCCAUGACUUUCCUAUGUGUGCCUAUAGUUAAACUGAGUGAGAGUUCAACUAUGGGACUCAGAGGUGAAUUGGACUAGGGGUAGUAUCUGAACACACUGCAGGUGGCCAUUGCAGUUGCUUGCACAGAUAGAGUUUAUAGAUGGUCCCAAACUUUGACAGCAUCCAGACAGCCAGGAC